AUGAACGCUGGCGGCGUGCCUAAUACCUGCAAGUCGAGCGAACGGACGAGAAGCUUGCUUUUCUGAUGUUAGCGGCGGACGGGUGAGUAACACGUGGAUAACCUACCUAUAAGACUGGGAUAACUUCGGGAAACCGGAGCUAAUACCGGAUAAUAUUUUGAACCGCAUGGUUCAAAAGUGAAAGACGGUCUUGCUGUCACUUAUAGAUGGAUCCGCGCUGCAUUAGCUAGUUGGUAAGGUAACGGCUUACCAAGGCAACGAUGCAUAGCCGACCUGAGAGGGUGAUCGGACACACUGGAACUGAGACACGGUCCAGACUCCUACGGGAGGCAGCAGUAGGGAAUCUUCCGCAAUGGGCGAAAGCCUGACGGAGCAACGCCGCGUGAGUGAUGAAGGUCUUCGGAUCGUAAAACUCUGUUAUUAGGGAAGAACAUAUGUGUAAGUAACUGUGCACAUCUUGACGGUACCUAAUCAGAAAGCCACGGCUAACUACGUG
Molecule: ribosomal RNA, 496 nt
Filed under: uncultured bacterium
Lineage: Bacteria
Description: partial 16S ribosomal RNA
Rfam family: Bacterial small subunit ribosomal RNA
Source: RNAcentral